AUGGGGUCAGUGGCUCUCCUGCUGUGGAUGCUGCUGUUCUGGGUACCAGGUUCCACUAGGAACAUUGUUCUGACCCAGUUUCCAGCUUCCUUGACUGUGUCUCUAGGACAAAAGGCCACCAUCUCCUGCAAGGCCAGUGACAGUGUCAAUAAAUUUGGCAUAAAUCUUAUGCAUUGGUAUCAACAGAAACCAGGACAGCCUCCCAAACUCCUGAUCGUUAAUGUGUACAGUCUAGAGUCUGGGAUCCCUGACAGGUUCAGUGGUGAUGACGAUGAAUUAAACUUCACCCUCACCAUCCAUCCUGUGGAAGCUGAUGAUGUUGCAACCUACUAUUGUCAGCAAGGACUAACACUUCCUCUCACAGCCCUCUAUGUCAAAGCAAAAACCUUCCAUGGUCGCUGCACUCUGAAGCCGAUUGUCUCAGAUGUCUUUCCCAUGAGAUAUCUCAACUAG
This is a non-coding RNA of Psammomys obesus (fat sand rat), 453 nucleotides long. The record is from the annotation of a RefSeq genome assembly. NCBI's taxonomy places the organism in Eukaryota, Metazoa, Chordata, Mammalia, Rodentia, Muridae.